This 498-nucleotide ribosomal RNA is filed under the name uncultured bacterium. Its description in RNAcentral is "partial 16S ribosomal RNA". It matches the Rfam family "Bacterial small subunit ribosomal RNA", at positions 30 to 523 of the family's 1533-position model. The record is from RNAcentral.
AUUGAACGCUGGCGGCAUGCCUUACACAUGCAAGUCGAACGGUAACAGGUCUUCGGAUGCUGACGAGUGGCGAACGGGUGAGUAAUACAUCGGAACGUGCCUAGUAGUGGGGGAUAACUACUCGAAAGAGUGGCUAAUACCGCAUGAGAUCUACGGAUGAAAGCAGGGGAUCGCAAGACCUGGUGCUACUAGAGCGGCCGAUGGCAGAUUAGGUAGUUGGUGGGAUAAAAGCUUACCAAGCCGACGAUCUGUAGCUGGUCUGAGAGGACGAUCAGCCACACUGGGACUGAGACACGGCCCAGACUCCUACGGGAGGCAGCAGUGGGGAAUUUUGGACAAUGGGCGCAAGCCUGAUCCAGCAAUGCCGCGUGCAGGAUGAAGGCCUUCGGGUUGUAAACUGCUUUUGUACGGAACGAAAAGCCCUGGGUUAAUACCCUGGGGUCACGACGGUACCGUAAGAAUAAGCACCGGCUAACUACGUGCCAGCAGCCGCGGUAA